Gordionus sp. m RMFG-2023 is the source of this 1484-nucleotide long non-coding RNA. RefSeq lists it as uncharacterized. The transcript is spliced from 7 exons. The record is from RefSeq and is a predicted model, not a curated record. NCBI's taxonomy places the organism in Eukaryota, Metazoa, Nematomorpha, Gordioida, Chordodea, Parachordodidae.
CGCUUUACGAAAAGGUGAAAAAAGGUGAAAUUGAAUUUACAAGCUAAAUACCAUUUUUCAAUAAUCAACCCAGCAUAAUACUUUGAGUUUAUAUAAAUAGGAAGUAUAAAGUAUAUAAAGGUGCAUAUUCUAAUAUCAAUCAAAAGGGUCACAUCCUACCCAGACCAAAUCUGAUAUUAGAUCAACUUGCCCAUAAAUAUAGACCUUUCAAUACUUCAUUCAGUCUAUAGGAAAUAUUGUACAUAUUCUCCAAUACUAAUAUUUCAAAUAUUAUCUUAAAUAAAAUUAAGAUAUAUACAUUCAAUAAAAUGGCUAUGCCUAAUCACUUUAAAAAGCAUACUGCUUACUUUACAUACACAAAUAAACCAUGCCUUGGACCCUGGAUUGUUAAGAACAAUUUAUUUACUAUAUCCAAAGAAUGCACGAAUGCAAUCUGCCUUCAAAAAAAUUAUUUUUCUGUAUGAUGCUAAAGAAUUAUAAAGCUAUUCAAGAUGAUAUUCCUAUUCUCACCCAAGAAGCUGUUGUCAGUUAAAACAAUUAUGCAUUAAUUCCAUUUAUUCAAGAUGAUAUUCCUAUUCACACCCAAGAAGCUGUUGUCAGUAAAAAUAAUUAUGCAUCAAUUCCAUAUCAAUCACAAUUCAAUUUUCAAGAUUUAUUUUUUUUAAAAAAAUCAAUUUAUAAAUUAAUAAAAUCAAAAUAUAAUAAUGACUUUUUAUAUUCUAAUAAGUAUUUGUACAUUAAUGAUAAAUUAAUAUAUUAUAAAUGCCAUACAAAACAUUGUAAAGGGAGGAGGAUUUUAAAUACUCAUUUUAUAAUGACACAAAAGCAUAUUGAUCAUAAUGAUGAAGAUAUAAAUAAUACGCUCAUCACGAUCAAUAUGCUUAAAACAGAACUUAUGUUAAAUCAAAAUAUCAGUAUUAGAAAGACAUACAGAAAGGUUAUGAGAGACAGAAAACUCGAUCCUUUCUGUAUGCAAAACCCCAAAACGUUACCUACCUUUUUAUCAGUUAAAUCCAUUAUGGGACGUGUUAUUCAAUUAACACGACACCCCCUUCCCCUUUCAAAUGGUGAUAUUAUAUUAACCCAAGAGCACACAAAAUCACAUUUAAGUUUUUUUAAAACUACAAUGUCUACUUUUGCCAUAUAUUCUUUUUUCACGAUUUUUCCUCCGUCAUGUAAUUAUAUUAAUUGUUCAAUAAUUUUCAUGUUGUCAAUAAAAUAACAGCUAUUAGUCUAAGUAUUUAUAUUCUAGUCGGGUCAUACAGAAGUGGUAUACGCCAAUUACAAUAUUAUGGUCGUUCUUACAUUUAUAGCCUAAUUUUAUAUUGUAUUUAUCCACAAUUUUUGUGAUUUUUUAUUUAUUUAUUAACGUUUUGUAUUGCAUUUAUGCGCAUUUUUUAUCCAAUUAUUUUUUUCUGUAUUUAACGUUAUUCGUAUAUUUAUACUAAAUGAUACCCUUAUAAAUAAUGUAUUAUAAGAUUAUA